AGUGAACGCUGGCGGUAGGCCUAACACAUGCGAGUCGAACGGCAGCACAGUAAGAGCUUGCUCUUACGGGUGGCGAGUGGCGGACGGGUGAGGAAUACAUCGGAAUCUACUAUUUCGUGGGGGAUAACGUAGGGAAACUUACGCUAAUACCGCAUACGACCUACGGGUGAAAGCAGGGGAUCUUCGGACCUUGCGCGAUUGAAUGAGCCGAUGUCGGAUUAGCUAGUUGGCGGGGUAAAGGCCCACCAAGGCGACGAUCCGUAGCUGGUCUGAGAGGAUGAUCAGCCACACUGGAACUGAGACACGGUCCAGACUCCUACGGGAGGCAGCAGUGGGGAAUAUUGGACAAUGGGCGCAAGCCUGAUCCAGCCAUACCGCGUGGGUGAAGAAGGCCUUCGGGUUGUAAAGCCCUUUUGUUGGGAAAGAAAAGCAGCAGGUUAAUACCCCGCUGUUCUGACGGUACCCAAAGAAUAAGCACCGGCUAACUUCGUG
Molecule: ribosomal RNA, 492 nt
Filed under: uncultured bacterium
Lineage: Bacteria
Description: partial 16S ribosomal RNA
Rfam family: Bacterial small subunit ribosomal RNA
Source: RNAcentral